RNAcentral lists this ribosomal RNA (369 nucleotides) under Prodidomus flavipes. RNAcentral describes it as "partial 16S ribosomal RNA". The record is from RNAcentral. Lineage: Eukaryota; Metazoa; Arthropoda; Arachnida; Araneae; Prodidomidae.
UAGCUUAAUCAUUAGCCUUUUAAUUGAAGGCCAGUACAAAAGAUUUAACAUCUUUAUUAUUAUCUAAAAUUAACAUAUUUAAAUUUUCCCAAGUGUAAAAAGACACUUAUUCUAAAGAAAGACGACAAGACCCUAUUGAACUUAACUUAAGUUAAACUGGGGAAGUUAAUUAAUUAUAAUUUUAAUUCAAACCUUCCUAAAAUAGACCUAAUAAUAUUAAUAAAAUGAACAAGUUACCAUAGGGAUAACAGCAUAAUAUUAUUUUUAAGAUCUUAUAUAAAACAAUGUUUAUGACCUCGAUGUUGAAUAAUUAUCUUUUUUAACGUAACAAAUUAAAAAGAGAGUCUGUUCGACUUUUAAAAAAUUACA